CACCGUAUAGUUGACAUAUUUUAUGCACCCACCAAGCGACCGUGAUGGUAAAGCACACUGGCAUAACCAGCCAGCAACGUUUUGUUAAGCCUGAAAAUUUACCUGCAUAGUUAACUAUCAUAUUUUUUAAAAAACUAUGCAAUAGUUCUUAGAUAAUAAUUUUAUAGAGACUAUGUUUUCCAACAACGCCACUAAUUUAUUGACCAAUGCCGUCCAUCUGCACAAACAUGUUAAUUUAUCAUUAAUAUUCACGUCCUGGGGAAGAGCAUCACCACAAUCCAUUCCAUGGAAAUGAUUCCACUAAGAAAAAAAUAUUCACCGUAUCUACAACAAUGAUGAUGCAAAGUCAGAAACAUUCAAUCGAGGAUAAAUCAUCCAGGCUAUAUGUGCACGAUGGCGAGGAAUCCAAUCUACUAUCCACAAUUACAUUACACUAUUUCCAAUUAAUAAAGGUAAAAAACCAUAAAAAAUGCCCCACUUCAUCCAAAAAAAAUUAUAACAUUCAACAAGAACGUGUUCGCAAAAGUUAGUAAAAGCAAGUAGAAUCGGAAAUGUACCGAGGAGGAGAAUCGAGAUCGAAAACACGUCGUGGCCACCCCUACUCGACGAGGGAGAUGGCGCCUGGCGACGACGGCGGCGAGACCGUCAACUGAGAGGGUUUCCUUCGAGCGAGCCGCCCUACGAGGCCGCAGAGAAGCGGAGACAGAAAACGACCUCCCGAAGCUUCUGGGCUUCGCCCGUCA
This 743-nucleotide long non-coding RNA is filed under the name Spirodela polyrhiza (greater duckweed). RNAcentral's name for it is "long non-coding RNA (SPOL_LNC002260)". Lineage: Eukaryota; Viridiplantae; Streptophyta; Magnoliopsida; Alismatales; Araceae. The record is from RNAcentral.